RNAcentral lists this ribosomal RNA (472 nucleotides) under uncultured bacterium. RNAcentral's name for it is "partial 16S ribosomal RNA". It matches the Rfam family "Bacterial small subunit ribosomal RNA", at positions 28 to 507 of the family's 1533-position model. The record is from RNAcentral.
GACGAACGCUGGCGGCGUGCUUAACACAUGCAAGUCGAACGCUGAAGCUUGGUGCUUGCACUGGGUGGAUGAGUGGCGAACGGGUGAGUAAUACGUGAGUAACCUGCCCUUGACUCUGGGAUAAGCCUGGGAAACUGGGUCUAAUACUGGAUAUGACAUGCCACUGCACGGUGGUGUGUGGAAAGGGUUUUACUGGUUUUGGAUGGGCUCACGGCCUAUCAGCUUGUUGGUGGGGUAAUGGCCUACCAAGGCGACGACGGGUAGCCGGCCUGAGAGGGUGACCGGCCACACUGGGACUGAGACACGGCCCAGACUCCUACGGGAGGCAGCAGUGGGGAAUAUUGCACAAUGGGCGGAAGCCUGAUGCAGCGACGCCGCGUGAGGGAUGACGGCCUUCGGGUUGUAAACCUCUUUCAGCACGGAAGAAGCGAGAGUGACGGUACGUGCAGAAGAAGCGCCGGCUAACUACGUG